AGACCCGAAACCCGGUGAUCUAGCCAUGGGCAGGUUGAAGGUUGGGUAACACUAACUGGAGGACCGAACCGACUAAUGUUGAAAAAUUAGCGGAUGACCUGUGGCUGGGGGUGAAAGGCCAAUCAAACCGGGAGAUAGCUGGUUCUCCCCGAAAGCUAUUUAGGUAGCGCCUCGUGAAUUCAUCUCCGGGGGUAGAGCACUGUUUCGGCUAGGGGGCCAUCCCGGCUUACCAACCCGAUGCAAACUGCGAAUACCGGAGAAUGUUAUCACGGGAGACACACGGCGGGUGCUAACGUCCGUCGUGAAGAGGGAAACAACCCAGACCGCCAGCUAAGGUCCCAAAGUCAUGGUUAAGUGGGAAACGAUGUGGGAAGGCCCAGACAGCCAGGAUGUUGGCUUAGAAGCAGCCAUCAUUUAAAGAAAGCGUAAUAGCUCACUGGUCGAGUCGGCCUGCGCGGAAGAUGUAACGGGGCUAAACCAUGCACCGAAGCUGCGGCAGCGACGCUGAUGCGUUGUUGGGUAGGGGAGCGUUCUGUAAGCCUGCGAAGGUGGCCUGUGAGGGUUGCUGGAGGUAUCAGAAGUGCGAAUGCUGACAUAAGUAACGAUAAAGCGGGUGAAAAGCCCGCUCGCCGGAAGACCAAGGGUUCCUGUCCAACGUUAAUCGGGGCAGGGUGAGUCGACCCCUAAGGCGAGGCCGAAAGGCGUAGUCGAUGGGAAACGGGUUAAUAUUCCCGUACUUGGUGUUACUGCGAAGGGGGGACGGAGAAGGCUAUGUUGGCCGGGCGACGGUUGUCCCGGUUUAAGCGUGUAGGUGUGUGUUCCAGGUAAAUCCGGUUCACUUUAACACUGAGGCGUGAUGACGAGGCGCUACGGUGCUGAAGCAACAAAUGCCCUGCUUCCAGGAAAAGCCUCUAAGCAUCAGGUAACAUCAAAUCGUACCCCAAACCGACACAGGUGGUCAGGUAGAGAAUACCAAGGCGCUUGAGAGAACUCGGGUGAAGGAACUAGGCAAAAUGGUGCCGUAACUUCGGGAGAAGGCACGCUGACACGUAGGUGAAGUGAUUUACUCAUGGAGCUGAAGUCAGUCGAAGAUACCAGCUGGCUGCAACUGUUUAUUAAAAACACAGCACUGUGCAAACACGAAAGUGGACGUAUACGGUGUGACGCCUGCCCGGUGCCGGAAGGUUAAUUGAUGGGGUCAGCGCAAGCGAAGCUCCUGAUCGAAGCCCCGGUAAACGGCGGCCGUAACUAUAACGGUCCUAAGGUAGCGAAAUUCCUUGUCGGGUAAGUUCCGACCUGCACGAAUGGCGUAAUGAUGGCCAGGCUGUCUCCACCCGAGACUCAGUGAAAUUGAACUCGCUGUGAAGAUGCAGUGUACCCGCGGCAAGACGGAAAGACCCCGUGAACCUUUACUAUAGCUUGACACUGAACAUUGAGCCUUGAUGUGUAGGAUAGGUGGGAGGCUUUGAAGUGUGG
RNAcentral lists this ribosomal RNA (1476 nucleotides) under Salmonella enterica subsp. enterica serovar Montevideo. RNAcentral's name for it is "partial 23S ribosomal RNA". It matches the Rfam family "Bacterial large subunit ribosomal RNA", at positions 711 to 2167 of the family's 2925-position model. Lineage: Bacteria; Pseudomonadati; Pseudomonadota; Gammaproteobacteria; Enterobacterales; Enterobacteriaceae. The record is from RNAcentral.